Molecule: long non-coding RNA, 303 nt
Organism: Podarcis muralis (Common wall lizard)
Lineage: Eukaryota; Metazoa; Chordata; Lepidosauria; Squamata; Lacertidae
Source: RefSeq, a predicted model, not a curated record
GGCAGCCUGGAUGCCGAGGAAGCGGUUGUUGAGGGAAUUUACCUUGUUUUUCUUAUAUUUUGCCCUCAGACCACCCCGUCUUUUGACGUUUUGUCACGCUUCCAGUGUUCGGUUGUGCGGUUUGUUUGUUGUUUGGCACCUCUGAAUAUAGAGCGAUCUAACUGUGCCGUGGACUACAAAGAGAGACAAAGGCAGAAAAAGACAAGCUAAACCUUCCCAACCCCCUCAAGCAUUCAUCACGAGAGUUAAUUUCCCUGAAACUCACGUUGUCACGGACCAUCGCGUCUGCUGCCUCCGAUAUGG